RNAcentral lists this ribosomal RNA (390 nucleotides) under Pelobates cultripes (western spadefoot toad). RNAcentral's name for it is "SSU_rRNA_microsporidia". It matches the Rfam family "Eukaryotic small subunit ribosomal RNA", at positions 113 to 471 of the family's 1831-position model. Lineage: Eukaryota; Metazoa; Chordata; Amphibia; Anura; Pelobatidae. The record is from RNAcentral.
GUGGAAGCAGCAGUGGAGGAGGAUGAGGUAGCCAACACUGUUUUUUAUAAAUAUAUAUAUUUAUUUUUCAAUUGGGGUAGCACCCAAAAUAUUGGGACAUAUAAAAAAAGACAACUCUGUUCCGCAGAGUAGCUGUUGACAUUAUAGUUGCGCAGGCACUUUGUUGACUCUAGAGAACCUCAGGCCAAUCGCACAUCCCUGUGACGGCGACUUUGCAUUCGAUGUCAUCCAUAUCAACUUUCAAUGUCAGUUUCUGCACCUACCAUGGUGACCACAGGUAACAGGGUAUCAGGGUUCCAUUCCGUACAGGGACCCUGAGAAACGGCUACCACAUGCAAGGAAGGCAGCAGGCGCGCAAAUGACCCACUCCCAACGCGGGAAGGUAGUGAC